RNAcentral lists this long non-coding RNA (350 nucleotides) under Arabidopsis lyrata. Its description in RNAcentral is "long non-coding RNA (ALYR_LNC000026)". Lineage: Eukaryota; Viridiplantae; Streptophyta; Magnoliopsida; Brassicales; Brassicaceae. The record is from RNAcentral.
ACAGAAUCUGUUCUGGCGGCAACGGGAAAAAGGUAGACAACGACAGAAAAAGAAAAGGGUAGUAACGUAAUUUAAUUAAAAACCAAUCGGUGAUUAGAAGCUAAUCUCUUCUAUAAUACGAGAAGGGUUUCAUAAAAAUCAGAGAGACAAAAAAAAAGUAGUUUUGAGAAUUAAGAAGAACAAAGUCUAUUCGAGACGAAGAAGAGCCUCAAGAAAAUCAUCAUCUCAGGUAAAACUUCAUCAUGAACAAAAGAUCUAUACAAAUUAAUUUACGUUAAUAACCAUUCAUAUACUCGUUGUAAAAAAAUUAUAAACAGGUUAGUUUUUGAUAAUUUAGACGUGAUAAUUGG